AUUGAACGCUGGCGGCAGGCCUAACACAUGCAAGUCGAGCGAGCGGCGGACGGGUGAGUAUUGUAUGGGGAUCUGCCUGAUGGCGGGGGAUAACUACUGGAAACGGUAGCUAAUACCGCAUACCAUCAGAUGAACCCAUAUGGGAUUAGCUAGUAGGUAAGGUAACGGCUUACCUAGGCGACGAUCCCUAGCUGGUCUGAGAGGAUGAUCAGCCACACGGUGACUGAGACACGGCCCAGACUCCUACGGGAGGCAGCAGUGGGGAAUAUUGCACAAUGGGCGCAAGCCUGAUGCAGCCAUGCCGCGUGUAUGAAGAAGGACUUCGGGUUGUAAAGUACUUUCAGGCGGGAGGCGUGACCGACAGAAGAAGCACCGGCUAACUCCGUGCCAGCAGCCGCGGUAAUUC
This 406-nucleotide ribosomal RNA is filed under the name uncultured bacterium. Its description in RNAcentral is "partial 16S ribosomal RNA". It matches the Rfam family "Bacterial small subunit ribosomal RNA", at positions 30 to 526 of the family's 1533-position model. The record is from RNAcentral.